CAGCUAGUUGGUAAGGUAACGGCUUACCAAGGCUACGAUGUUUAGGGGAUCUGAGAGGAUGACCCCCCACACUGGUACUGAGACACGGACCAGACUCCUACGGGAGGCAGCAGUAAGGAAUAUUGGUCAAUGGGCGGAAGCCUGAACCAGCCAUGCCGCGUGCAGGAAGACGGCCCUACGGGUUGUAAACUGCUUUUAUACGGGAAUAAACCUUAGUAUGUAUACUAAGCUGAAUGUACUGUAAGAAUAAGGAUCGGCUAACUCCGUGCCAGCAGCCGCGGUAAUACGGAGGAUCCAAGCGUUAUCCGGAUUUAUUGGGUUUAAAGGGUGCGUAGGUGGUUCAUUAAGUCAGGGGUGAAAGACGGCAGCUUAACUGUCGCAGUGCCUUUGAUACUGAUGAACUUGAAUGAACUAGAGGUAGGCGGAAUGUGACAAGUAGCGGUGAAAUGCAUAGAUAUGUCACAGAACACCAAUUGCGAAGGCAGCUUACUAUGGUUUGAUUGACACUGAGGCACGAAAGCGUGGGGAUCAAACAGGAUUAGAUACCCUGGUAGUCCACGCCCUAAACGA
RNAcentral lists this ribosomal RNA (570 nucleotides) under uncultured Bacteroidota bacterium. RNAcentral's name for it is "SSU rRNA". It matches the Rfam family "Bacterial small subunit ribosomal RNA", at positions 242 to 809 of the family's 1533-position model. The record is from RNAcentral. Lineage: Bacteria; Pseudomonadati; Bacteroidota.